UCCUGGCUAGCUCAGUCGGCAGAGUGUGUGACUCUUGAUCUUGAGAUCGUGAGUUCGAGCCUCACGUUGGGCA
RNAcentral lists this transfer RNA (73 nucleotides) under Felis catus (domestic cat). It matches the Rfam family "tRNA". From Rfam's summary of the family: Transfer RNA (tRNA) molecules are approximately 80 nucleotides in length. Their secondary structure includes four short double-helical elements and three loops (D, anti-codon, and T loops). The record is from Rfam by way of RNAcentral. Lineage: Eukaryota; Metazoa; Chordata; Mammalia; Carnivora; Felidae. RNAcentral also lists the same sequence under 1 other name.